CAGAACUAAAUAUGAAUAGCCUGCACUCUUUCAUUAUCUAAGAGUGACAAACUCAUAAAAAAUGAUGGCUUUCUGUUAUUUUAUCUCCAUAGCAACCAUAUUAUUUUUUGGUCCCAUGGGGAUGACGAACAGGUCUGUGUACGUUUUAGAAGAAUUGGUAAAAAGUUGACAUUCGGAUAUCCUUAGCAACCAAGGUUGUUUGUCAACCACGUCCACAUUCCCAUCAUAGUCAUGUCAUAUGUUAUAUCGCUUUGUUCAGCUUGAGCCGGGAAUUCAUGUAUUUAAUUUUCAAAUUAUUCUGGUAAUAAACGUGCGAGUAAUAGGGGGAACGCCACUUUUGCGAGCUCGCCAUGAUAACGGCACUCAAAAUUUACAAUCUUUAACACCACAGUUUUUUCCCCAAAAGUAACAAGUGAUCGAUGAGUUGGGAGGUGAUAGACAGACAAUGUUUUGUUAGUUUUGAACUAUUUCUUUGGAGCCACAUAAGAGAUUUCGGCCCCGUGCAUUUUUUGAUGGUUUCUCCUGCUGUGAUGUCAUCAGGGGGCGGGUCACUAUGCUCAAACUUGACUUUCAGUGGGUGCUAGGCCGGGCGUGUGCAAAUAUUGCUGAGUUUCUGAGCUUGCAGUGGGAGUGAAAUUCUCACUCCAACGCGCAGGAAGAUUAGGAAAACAAUCUGGUCCCCUGCCGUCCAGGACAUGAAAAAUAAAAAGCUGAAGAAGUCAGUGCUGAUCGACCGUAGGAACACAUUGUUCAAAUAUUUCAGUAUUCCUCACUUGUUGAUGUUCUUAACCCCCCUUUCCUUUCCAUGUGUAUGCAGUCAUCACCUGUCUGCUCAAGAGCUCCCUGCAGAACCAAAGGCGGAUGAAGACGAGCUGAUCUUCAGUGGAUCACGUCUGCAGAGAAAACACUGCAGCACAGAAAUGAGUCCAUUCUGCAGACGGAUGACGCAUCCAGCUGGUUGGAUUUCUGUCAUCAGAAUGAACAGGUUUUAAUGUGGUCGGGUUUUUAUUUGCCCCUCAGUGUUUAAGUCACUGACUGCAGCCAGAAAACAGCUCGAGUUUAAGCGAAACAUCUAACCUUUUCCUGUUUUUAUAACCUUGUUACAAAAUGUGUUGCACUAGAUUGAACUGAUUUAAUAAACGGGCAGAAAGCUAUCAAAGAAAAACUGCAUGGGUUAAAAGAAGAAGUGAUUGUGAUUGGCUAAGAGCAGAGUCAUUGUAAUCCAGCAGAGAAAAGCCU
This 1239-nucleotide long non-coding RNA is filed under the name Oryzias sinensis (Chinese medaka). Its description in RNAcentral is "lncRNA (ENSOSIG00000020900.1)". The record is from RNAcentral. Lineage: Eukaryota; Metazoa; Chordata; Actinopteri; Beloniformes; Adrianichthyidae.